GUGGAUGAGGCAUGCAAGUCGAACGAAGCACUAGGGUAACUUGGUGCUUAGUGGCGGAAGGGUUAGUAAUACAUGAAUAACCUGCCUUUAACCUGGGGAUAACGGCUGGAAACGGCCGCUAAUACCGAAUGCGGUAUUUGAGAGGAAUCUCUUAAAUAUCAAAGUGGGGGACCUUGAAAGGGGCCUGGCGGUUAAAGAGGGGUUCAUGGGAUAUCAGCUAGUUGGUGUGGUAAUGGCGCACCAAGGCUAAGACGUCUAGGCGGAUUGAGAGAUUG
This 275-nucleotide ribosomal RNA is filed under the name uncultured Chlamydiales bacterium. Its description in RNAcentral is "partial 16S ribosomal RNA". It matches the Rfam family "Bacterial small subunit ribosomal RNA", at positions 44 to 302 of the family's 1533-position model. Lineage: Bacteria; Pseudomonadati; Chlamydiota; Chlamydiia; Chlamydiales. The record is from RNAcentral.